GAUGGACAUUUCUGGGCAGAAAAGAAUGUUCACAAACAAAAUGAAAAGCUAAGGUCCUUGAAUCCUUGGCCUAAUCAUGAGAGAGCUUCCAGGGGUAGCCUUAACAGAGUCCUAACAUGAUUUUUUUCCCUCCCACAGAUUUGAUACUACUAAAAAUCAAAGUUUAAUUGUCUAACUGCCAGAUUACAGCAUCAUUGGAAAUUGCAGCGUGGCCGGUUUUCUCAUAUGAAAGCUAAGCCUUUGAAUCUGGAAGGAGGAACCUCAAACUUAAAAUGGGACACAAAGUUGGACUGAACCUGACAACCUUGAACCCCUGAGUUUUCCCUGACAGUGGAGGGAGCUUGUCUUUCUCUGAGGAGCCUGGAGCAGCCUUGGGUGAGGAAUGGGAUCCAGCAACUGUUGAUCAAAGGAGGAGGCAACCAUGGAGGAGGACGCAGAUGAGACAUUAGCACUGAGAAAAGAACCUGAGGCCUUGUCACGUUUGCAUACUAAAUGGAACCACACAGUGCACAGAACUGUGAACUUGGAGGCAGGUGGCUUAGACUCUAAUUCAGUUUUUUACCUGUUCAUCCCAUGAACUAGAAAAAAACUCUCUUUCAGCUUCCGCAUAUCCACCCAAACAAUAGUGAGUAAUCUCUUCUCUUUAUUGGAUCAAUUUAAGGAUUCACAGAGAAUGUAAACCAUCUUUUGU
Molecule: long non-coding RNA, 691 nt
Filed under: Cricetulus griseus (Chinese hamster)
Lineage: Eukaryota; Metazoa; Chordata; Mammalia; Rodentia; Cricetidae
Description: lncRNA (ENSCGRG00000025209.1)
Source: RNAcentral